RNAcentral lists this unclassified non-coding RNA (289 nucleotides) under uncultured fungus. RNAcentral's name for it is "partial contains small subunit ribosomal RNA, internal transcribed spacer 1, and 5.8S ribosomal RNA". The stretch from base 1 to 73 matches the Rfam family "Eukaryotic small subunit ribosomal RNA", at positions 1759 to 1831 of the family's 1831-position model. Lineage: Eukaryota; Fungi. The record is from RNAcentral.
UCAAACUUGGUCAUUUAGAGGAAGUAAAAGUCGUAACAAGGUCUCCGUUGGUGAACCAGCGGAGGGAUCAUUACCAGAGUAGCCCUAGGCUCUCCAACCCACUGUGAACAUACCUACGUUCCCUCGGCGGGCUCAGCGGCCGGCGUCCCUCGCGGCGCCGGGCGUCCGCCGGGGGCCCCCAAACUCGAAUUUACAGCGUGUAUUUCUGAGGGGCGAAAGCCCGUAAAACAAAUGAAUCAAAACUUUCAACAACGGAUCUCUUGGCUCUGGCAUCGAUGAAGAACGCAGC